AAAGUUCACGUUUCCCGGAAAGAACGAAAAUUCAAAUUUCAAGCCUAAAUUACAAAGCAUGACACAAUUGUCCACACUCUAUACAAAAAAAGUUGGUGUCACGCUCUCAGAGAAAAAAAAACAAGGGAGAAAUUAAACAGGAUGAUUUCAAGCACACAGACACACUUCCGGAUUCGGUCGAAUGGUCAAAUACUAAAACAAAACUAUGAAAUUAAAUUUUUGACAUUUAAAAAUCAACUCCCAGAAAAUCCCGAUCACUGAUCGUAGUAACCAACCAAAAUCCACCCCUCGAAAAAACAACGAUCACCACGGCCAGCCGUAACCAUGGUAGCCAUAGUUACCCGAAAUCAACAAAUCAACAGGCUGAAAAGUUAUAGUGGUCGAGUGCAGUCCCAUCAACCAGGCAUACCCGCUUGAGAGGUUGUAGUGAACGGACGCUACUAAUUUUUCUCUUUCUCGUUUCAGGAAUCAUCACGAUGGGAGCGAAAAUGUCUCGCCGAAAUGGGCGUAGAGCGGCCACGGUUACUCUGGAUGACGAUAUGCAGACGGGGGGGACGGAACUCGACCGGGUUGCGAGUAGCGGACGGGUCGAUGCUAAGCCGGAGGUUCCGGGACCGGAUCUGCCGGUUGUCGAACCAAAUUUGAAUAAAGUUUCUUUUGAAAAUUACGACAAUCCGGCAGAUUUGGUUCUGGAAUCGCCGUCGGUAAUUAAUAUUUCAUUAAAUAAUUGUUUGGACAUGACUGCGGCGGUAUCCAUCUCGGAACCGCCUGCAGAUGAAAAUUUUUCUUUACAGGUUGUGACGACGACAUUCGAGGAGGUGGUUCCAAUGCCGGAUCCACCGAUAGAGGAGCAAAAUUUGAUGAAUUGCGAUUUGGAAAUUUCCGAAAAAUCGGUGGAUCCGGCAUCGGAGCCACCGAAGACCGACGACGACUCAAAUACGCUUUCGAAUCCAACGGCGGAGGUGGUUUCCACCGUGGAACCGCCCGCUGACCUUAAUUCAUGUAAACUUGAAAUCUCUCUUUCAGAUAACGAUCCGGAACCACUUUCGGAACAUACAAAUCUAAAUUUAGAAACUAAUUCUCCCCAAAUUCUAGAUGAUCCCGGACAAUGUUCGUACUCCGUUUCGGUCGAAAUUCCUCCGGAAGUGGUUCCGGGGCCACCACCAAAUUCCAAAUCUGACACAAAAUAUUUUUGGUGCUACGUUUGUCAAAAUUCAGGUACAAACACAUUGCCAUGGUUGCUUCGAUUGAAGUAUUCCAAGCCGGCAAUGUGUUUGAAAUAUUUGUUUACAGGCUCGAUGUGCUGCAUUGCUCUAGGGUUGCUUGUUUUUGUUUAACUAAUUUUUGUUGUUAUUAUUUAAUUGCAGCUUCACGUUUCUUGUUUCAUGAGCGAUUCUCUGUUGCUUACUGAUGAUGAUUUCCGUUAAUUGGAUUGGAACGAUUGGAGAUAUUUAGUGCAAUAAAUAGAAUUGACUGUACUUUUUGAGGAAGACGAUGAUGACGUGGAGAUGAUGAUACUACUGACCAUAUGAAUAUAUUUGAUGUUGAGAAGAUUAAGGCCGACUGGACGAUUAGGUCGAUGGCGAAGGAGCACGAUGGCGAAGACGCACGAUGGCUGCAGCGGAUGUUUGAAGACUUGAAGAUUUAUCAUAUUAAUGAAUUGUAAUAUAUUGAUUUGUAUUGAUAUUUGAAUUGUUUGGAAUAAACGAUACAAAAAAA
Culex quinquefasciatus (southern house mosquito) is the source of this 1719-nucleotide long non-coding RNA. RefSeq lists it as uncharacterized. The record is from RefSeq and is a predicted model, not a curated record. NCBI's taxonomy places the organism in Eukaryota, Metazoa, Arthropoda, Insecta, Diptera, Culicidae. The transcript is spliced from 3 exons.